Molecule: long non-coding RNA, 1251 nt
Organism: Melitaea cinxia (Glanville fritillary)
Lineage: Eukaryota; Metazoa; Arthropoda; Insecta; Lepidoptera; Nymphalidae
Exons: 2
Source: RefSeq, a predicted model, not a curated record
UCCUGCCAAUGUAUUCAAUGAUGAUAUAUAAAGCUGAGAGCAGAAAUUGACAUCUAUAAUAUCAAAGCUAAAAUUUGACUUACCAUCUUGAAGAGCUUUUUAGAGAUCGGGGUCAUCGGCGAUUUAAUAAGACAUUCUAUUUUUGGUCUCACGUCGCAAGCAAUGAAAACAAACAUUGACAUAAGAUUGACGAUUUUUUUUUUUCGUCUCGAAGAACGAUUUUACGGAACACUCAACAAACCGUUUCAAGGAUUUAACUACACGUUAGCACAAUAACCAAAAAUUAAAUACUUUUUGUCUUUAUAAACGUUUGGAAGGCGUGAAGACUGAGCUCAAGUGUGCCAAGCUUGCCGGGCAAUGUUCCAAAAUUAAAACAACUACAAAUACGCUUGAUAUGUUUGUGUGAGUUAAAAAUAUAAAUUCGCUGUCCAGUUAAUGUUGAUCUCUCGAAUAAAAGUAAACAUGACUGUAAUUGUUUUUAAAAAAUGUUUAAAACAAAAAACUUUGAAAAAUUAUAUAAAAUUGUAUUUAAUUUUACAUCACGUACUGUACUUUAUUUUUAUGAGAAUAAAUCACUUUAUAUCGCGCUGCAGAACCAUUACGCUCAUCAUGUAGAUAAUCAAACUAUAAUUUCUACAAAACUUUGUGAAUGCGCAAAUACGUUGAUAAUGGUGCCAGUCAAAAAGUGACCGCAAAUACUUUUACUUAAAAUUAUUUUAAUUAAUUUUCCAAACAAAAAUAAUCAUUUACUUCUGGAUUAUUGAUUGAAAUGAAAUAUAAUUCACAUCAAGAAAAACGCAUAUAGAAAAUAUGAGAAGCUAUGGCUGCUGAAACCUACUCGGCCACAAUUACUUAGCAACAGCAUUUUCUGUGAGUGCACGUAGAACAAAGAAGAAAAUGACAGAACAUUUACGAGACUAUCUACUGAAUUCAUUAUUUUCAAAUGCCUGUUAUGAUUAUGAAUGCAAUAGUUAAUUCAACGAUUUUGCUAUGUAGUUUUUCAGGCGCUCAAAUAAAUGUUUAAAAUUUUGCUAUUUUAAAAUGACUAUGUACUUACAAAAUAGACUAAUAGACUUACACUAUUUCAUAUUUUUGAAGCAUGUUAUUACAUUAUCAGUAGUAUAUUGUGCUUUUACUUUGUAUUGAUAAAAAUCCAUAAUUAUACAUUUUAAUUACUGUAAAUUAAAAUUAUAAAUUGACAUAAAUGUGAUUGAUACAGCGGGACAUUUGCUUGUUCCUAAAGAACGCAAA